Molecule: ribosomal RNA, 441 nt
Filed under: uncultured bacterium
Lineage: Bacteria
Description: partial 16S ribosomal RNA
Rfam family: Bacterial small subunit ribosomal RNA
Source: RNAcentral
CCUACGGGUGGCAGCAGUGGGGGAUAUUGCACAAUGGGCGGGAGCCUGAUCCAGCCAAGCCGCGUGAGGGAAGAAGGUACAGCGUAUCGUAAACCUCUUUUGUCAGGAAAGAAAAUGACGGUACCUGACUAAGAAGCCCCGGCUAACCACGUGCCAGCAGCCGCGGGAAUACGUAGGGGGCAAGCGUUAUUCGGAUUUACUGGGUGAAAAGGGAGCGUAGACGGUAGCGCAAGUCUGGAGUGAAAUGCCGGGGCUCAACCCCGGAACUGCUCUGGAUACUGUGAAGCUGGAGUGCAGGAGAGGUGAGCAGAAUUCCUGGUGUAGCGGUGAAAUGCGUAGAGAUUAGGAGGAACACCAGUGGCGAAGGCGGCUUACUGGACUGUAACUGACGUUGAGGCUCGAAAGCGUGGGGAGCAAACAGGAUUAGAUACCCGGGUAGUC